AGAAGUGCCCACAUCCGGCCAAAUGGGGGCUCACCAGCUGCCCGUGGACAGAGUGGGAGGAGGCCCCCAGUCUCCAGGAGGCUCCAUGCCUCAGGCUCAGACCGGCAGCUCGGGAACCCAGCUAGCAGGAUGAACUCCAGCAGAGGAACUCAGCGCCAUUGCUGCGGCUGUGGCCCAGAAGAGAAAGAGAAAGAGAAAGAGAAUCCGCCUCGGUGUGACAAGCUGUGCCUCAGAACCCGAGCAGCAGGAGAGUGGGCAGCAGGGGGUGUCUGGCAGCAGAGAGGGGCUCAGGCCUGCUGGGUGGAGCGGCGCUGGGGGACACAGAGCCUGGUGGUAGAGAGACCUCCGGAUGGAGACAGCCCACAGCCCCGGAGCCCCAAGGCAGGCACCAGUGAGUCCCUCGUGACGGCCUCGCUCCCCGCAUCACAUGGAACCUCGUGACCCACGUGACAACGCCAGUGCCCCCGUGGCCCCUUCCUGCUGCUGGACGUGAUGCAGUCAAUGGAAGCCCAGCGUGGGCUCUCCCGGCACCAGCACCGCCAGGCCCUGUGCAGGACACCAGGGUCAUC
Molecule: non-coding RNA, 569 nt
Filed under: Pan troglodytes (chimpanzee)
Lineage: Eukaryota; Metazoa; Chordata; Mammalia; Primates; Hominidae
Source: RNAcentral